GCUGGCGUAGCUCAGCCCGGUAGAGCAUCUGAUUUGUAAUCAGACGGUCGGGGGUUCAAAUCCCUUCGCCAGCUCCA
This 77-nucleotide transfer RNA is filed under the name Acidobacteriota bacterium. RNAcentral describes it as "Acidobacteria bacterium (wastewater metagenome) tRNA-Thr". It matches the Rfam family "tRNA". Rfam says of the family: Transfer RNA (tRNA) molecules are approximately 80 nucleotides in length. Their secondary structure includes four short double-helical elements and three loops (D, anti-codon, and T loops). Further hydrogen bonds mediate the characteristic L-shaped molecular structure. tRNAs have two regions of fundamental functional importance: the anti-codon, which is responsible for specific mRNA codon recognition, and the 3' end, to which the tRNAs corresponding amino acid is attached (by aminoacyl-tRNA synthetases). tRNAs cope with the degeneracy of the genetic code in two manners: having more than one tRNA (with a specific anti-codon) for a particular amino acid; and 'wobble' base-pairing, i.e. permitting non-standard base-pairing at the 3rd anti-codon position. The record is from RNAcentral. Lineage: Bacteria; Pseudomonadati; Acidobacteriota. RNAcentral also lists the same sequence under 1 other name.